This is a long non-coding RNA of Culex quinquefasciatus (southern house mosquito), 101 nucleotides long. RefSeq lists it as uncharacterized. The record is from RefSeq and is a predicted model, not a curated record. Lineage: Eukaryota; Metazoa; Arthropoda; Insecta; Diptera; Culicidae. The transcript has 3 exons.
AUAAAAAAAAACUCGUUUCACUUGCGGUGUCCCGGUCGGUUGUUGAUCUUCAAUUUUUGUACAACAUUACGCCUCACUAUUUCCAUUUUUUUAAGUGCACA